UCAAACUUGGUCAUUUAGAGGAAGUAAAAGUCGUAACAAGGUUUCCGUAGGUGAACCUGCGGAAGGAUCAUUAAAGAAAUGAAAUCGACUGUGCGCCUUCGGGCCGCACGUCGACCACACACCUCGUGCACCUUCGACGGAGGUGGGGCGACCCGCCGCCGUCUGAUUUCACCAAACGCAUAAGUCUGUCUCGAAUGUUAAACCCAUACAUAACAAUACAACUUUCAGCAACGGAUCUCUUGGCUCUCGCAUCGAUGAAGAACGCAGC
This 268-nucleotide unclassified non-coding RNA is filed under the name uncultured fungus. Its description in RNAcentral is "partial contains small subunit ribosomal RNA, internal transcribed spacer 1, and 5.8S ribosomal RNA". The stretch from base 1 to 73 matches the Rfam family "Eukaryotic small subunit ribosomal RNA", at positions 1759 to 1831 of the family's 1831-position model. The record is from RNAcentral. Lineage: Eukaryota; Fungi.